CGCCUGGGGAGUACGGCCGCAAGGUUAAAACUCAAAUGAAUUGACGGGGGCCCGCACAAGCGGUGGAGCAUGUGGUUUAAUUCGAUGCAACGCGAAGAACCUUACCUGGUCUUGACAUCCACAGAAGAAUCCAGAGAUGGAUUUGUGCCUUCGGGAACUGUGAGACAGGUGCUGCAUGGCUGUCGUCAGCUCGUGUUGUGAAAUGUUGGGUUAAGUCCCGCAACGAGCGCAACCCUUAUCCUUUGUUGCCAGCGAUUAGGUCGGGAACUCAAAGGAGACUGCCAGUGAUAAACUGGAGGAAGGUGGGGAUGACGUCAAGUCAUCAUGGCCCUUACGACCAGGGCUACACACGUGCUACAAUGGCGCAUACAAAGAGAAGCGACCUCGCGAGAGCAAGCGGACCUCAUAAAGUGCGUCGUAGUCCGGAUUGGAGUCUGCAACUCGACUCCAUGAAGUCGGAAUCGCUAGUAAUCGUGGAUCAGAAUGCCACGGUGAAUACGUUCCCGGGCCUUGUACACACCGCCCGUCACACCAUGGGAGUGGGUUGCAAAAGAAGUAGGUAGC
RNAcentral lists this ribosomal RNA (564 nucleotides) under Salmonella enterica. Its description in RNAcentral is "bacterial SSU rRNA". It matches the Rfam family "Bacterial small subunit ribosomal RNA", at positions 870 to 1434 of the family's 1533-position model. Lineage: Bacteria; Pseudomonadati; Pseudomonadota; Gammaproteobacteria; Enterobacterales; Enterobacteriaceae. The record is from RNAcentral.